RNAcentral lists this ribosomal RNA (825 nucleotides) under Halorubrum sp. Its description in RNAcentral is "bacterial SSU rRNA". It matches the Rfam family "Archaeal small subunit ribosomal RNA", at positions 4 to 828 of the family's 1478-position model. The record is from RNAcentral. Lineage: Archaea; Methanobacteriati; Methanobacteriota; Halobacteria; Halobacteriales; Haloferacaceae.
UUCCGGUUGAUCCUGCCGGAGGCCAUUGCUAUUGGGAUCCGAUUUAGCCAUGCUAGUUGCACGAGUUCACACUCGUAGCGAAUAGCUCAGUAACACGUGGCCAAACUACCCUUCGGAACACAAUACCCUCGGGAAACUGAGGCUAAUAGUGUAUACCACACUCACUCUGGAAUGACAAGUGUGCCAAACGCUCCGGCGCCGAAGGAUGUGGCUGCGGCCGAUUAGGUAGACGGUGGGGUAACGGCCCACCGUGCCGAUAAUCGGUACGGGUGGUGAGAGCCAGAACCCGGAGACGGAAUCUGAGACAAGAUUCCGGGCCCUACGGGGCGCAGCAGGCGCGAAACCUUUACACUGCACGACAGUGCGAUAAGGGGAUCCCAAGUGCGCAGGCAUAGAGCCUGCGCUUUUGUACACCCUAGGGAGGUGCACGAAUAAGGGCUGGGCAAGACCGGUGCCAGCCGCCGCGGUAAUACCGGCAGCCCAAGUGAUGGCCGAUCUUAUUGGGCCUAAAGCGUCCGUAGCUGGCCGCGCAAGUCCAUCGGGAAAUCCACCUGCUCAACAGGUGGACGUCCGGUGGAAACUGCACGGCUUGGGACCGGAAGGCGCGACGGGUACGUCCGGGGUAGGAGUGAAAUCCCGUAAUCCUGGACGGACCGCCGAUGGCGAAAGCACGUCGCGAAAACGGAUCCGACAGUGAGGGACGAAAGCUAGGGUCUCGAACCGGAUUAGAUACCCGGGUAGUCCUAGCCGUAAACAAUGCCUGCUAGGUGUGGCUCCCACUACGAGUGGGUGCUGUGCCGUAGGGAAGCCGCUAAGCAGGCCGCC